AUUGAACGCCGGCGGCAUGCCUUACACAUGCAAGUCGAACGGUAACAGGUCUUCGGAUGCUGACGAGUGGCGAACGGGUGAGUAAUACAUCAGAACGUGCCUAGUAGUGGGGGAUAACUACUCGAAAGAGUGGCUAAUACCGCAUGAGAUCUACGGAUGAAAGCAGGGGAUCGCAAGACCUUGUGCUACCAGAGCGGCCGAUGGCAGAUUAGGUAGUUGGUGGGAUAGAAGCUUACCAAGCAGACGAUCUGUAGCUGGUCUGAGAGGACGAUCAGCCACACUGGGACUGAAACACGGCCCAGACUCCUACGGAAGGCAGCAGUGGGGAAUUUUGGACAAUGGGCGCAAGCCUGAUCCAGCAAUGCCGCGUGCAGGAUGAAGGCCUUCGGGUUGUAAACUGCUUUUGUACGGAACGAAAAGCCCCGGGUUAAUACCCUGGGGUCAUGACGGUACCGUAAGAAUAAGCACCGGCUAACUACGUGCCAGCAGCCGCGGUAA
RNAcentral lists this ribosomal RNA (498 nucleotides) under uncultured bacterium. RNAcentral's name for it is "partial 16S ribosomal RNA". It matches the Rfam family "Bacterial small subunit ribosomal RNA", at positions 30 to 523 of the family's 1533-position model. The record is from RNAcentral.